Molecule: ribosomal RNA, 251 nt
Filed under: uncultured prokaryote
Description: partial 16S rRNA
Rfam family: Bacterial small subunit ribosomal RNA
Source: RNAcentral
ACGUAGGAGGCAAACGUUAUCCGGAUUUACUGGGCGUAAAGGGCGUGUAGGUGGCUAUGCAAGUCGGGUGUGAAAGCUCCGGGCUUAACUGGGGGGGGGCGUUCGAAACUGCGUGGCUAGAGUACAGGAGAGGAAAGCGGAAUUCCGAGUGUAGCGGUGAAAUGCGUAGAUAUUAGGAGGAACACCAGUGGCGAAGGCGGCUUCCUGGACUGUACCUGACACUGAGACACGAAAGCGUGGGGAGCAAACAG